GACGAACGCUGGCGGCGUGCUUAACACAUGCAAGUCGAACGGAAAGGCCCUGCUUUUGUGGGGUGCUCGAGUGGCGAACGGGUGAGUAACACGUGAGUAACCUGCCCUUGACUUUGGGAUAACUUCAGGAAACUGGGGCUAAUACCGGAUAGGAGCUCCUGCUGCAUGGUGGGGGUUGGAAAGUUUCGGCGGUUGGGGAUGGACUCGCGGCUUAUCAGCUUGUUGGUGGGGUAGUGGCUUACCAAGGCUUUGACGGGUAGCCGGCCUGGGAGGGUGACCGGCGACAGUGGGACUGAGAUACGGCCCAGACUCCUACGGGAGGCAGCAGUGGGGAAUAUUGCACAAUGGGCGGAAGCCUGAUGCAGCAGCGCCGCGUGCGGGAUGACGGCCUUCGGGUUGUAAACCGCUUUCGCCUGUGACGAAGCGUGAGUGACGGUAAUGGGUAAAGAAGCACCGGCUAACUACGUG
Molecule: ribosomal RNA, 468 nt
Filed under: uncultured bacterium
Lineage: Bacteria
Description: partial 16S ribosomal RNA
Rfam family: Bacterial small subunit ribosomal RNA
Source: RNAcentral